Molecule: ribosomal RNA, 498 nt
Filed under: uncultured archaeon
Lineage: Archaea
Description: partial 16S ribosomal RNA
Rfam family: Archaeal small subunit ribosomal RNA
Source: RNAcentral
CCUCNAGACNNGGGAUAACCCCGGGAAACUGGGAANAAUACCCGAUANACGUGAGAUGAUGGAAGGCUCCCACGUCCNANCCCUGCGGGGCUCGAGGAUGGGUCUGCGGCCUAUCAGGUUGUAGGGGGUUUCACGGACCCCCUAGCCGUAGACGGGUACGGGCUUUGGGAGAAGUCGCCCGGGGAUGGAUUCUGAGACACGAAUCCAGGACCUACGGGUCGCAGCAGGCGCGAAACCUCCACAUAUGUGGGAAACCACGAUGGGGGAACUCCAAGNNGCUUACACUAAGUGGUAAGCGUCUGUCUCGACCCUAAAAAACUCGAGAAGUAAGGGCCGGNUUAAGACCGGUGCCAGCCGCCGCGGUAAUACCCGCAGCCCGAGUGGUGCUCAUUAUUAUUGAGCCUAAAACGUCCCGCUACCUGGCCGGGCAAAUCUUCCUGGGUUAAAUCCGGGCCGGGCUCAACCGGUCCNAACUCCCGAAGACCACUGCUUCGGCUU